GGAAGGAAGGAAAAUUAAUCAGAAAGCAUUGGAUCUUCCAAAACAAAAAAGUGUGUAAGCCUUGUAAGCCAAGUACAGUAUAUUACAAUUUUCUAUUGUUAGACUUUGUUAUCAGUAAUUUUGUAUCUUGGUCCUUCUCUUGUCACACUUUACACUAAGCAGAGCUUCCCAGUUAAGAAAACAUUCAAAACAUUUUCUUUAGUUGCCUUGAAUGUGAGACACCUUGAAUGAAUUGAACCUGCUUAGUGCUACCAACACUCAUGUUUCUACUGGCUGGUAGUGCUAACCGCAGGGUUGAGGAAGGUAGAAAGAUACCCAGAUUCCCUCCAAAAAUAACCAGCAUGUUUGUCGAAGCAGUCACUGUCUUCACCACACUUCCUCUUUUUUUGGUUCAAGUCAUUUCCUCUAUGGGAAAUUAUCUGUAAAUGAGUCUAUCUUGUAGCCUACCAGGUUGCCUUUUCCUCGAAAUUCUGUUUACUUGGGAUUCUUCCCUAAUCUCUCCACCAAAUAUAUUUGCUUUAGUCCUUCCUCUUCUCUGGUUAGCUCUGUGGUUAGAAAUGUAAAUACUGAAUUUAACGUGACUUCUUUGUGCUGUUUGGAAGGAUUCUUGCAGCAAAAUAUCCCCCAACCAUAAAAAGGCAGGGUGAGGUAAUGCAAGGAAUUAAUCUAGCUGUGGAUAUGUGUAUUGCUAUGAAUGUAAAUAAAUAUCUGACAGGUGUGAUUUAAGUUGUAAAAGGGUCUAUUAAAACACAACUAUUUUUUAUUUAAAAAAUCAGAAGGGGCCAGGUGGGGUGGCUCAAUGCCUGCAAUCUCAACAUAUUGGGAGAUCAAGGUGGAAGGAUCACUUGAGGCCAGGAGUUCAAGACCAGCCUGGACAACAUAGUGAGACCCCCAACUCUAUGAAAAAAUAAAAAAUUAAAAUGAGCUGGGCAUGGUGGCAUGCACCUGUAGUCCCAGCUACUUGGGAGGCUGAGGUGGGAGGAUCACUUGAGCCCAAGAGUUCAAGGCUGCCGUGAGCUAUGAUCAUGGUACUACACUCCAGCCUAGACAACAGAGUGAGACCCUGUCUCCAAAAAAACAAAACGAAACAAAAUCAAUAAAGGAGAACAGCUUCAAAUUACCUGUUUGUGUUCCAUUAUAUUCAUAAGCCAUGCAUUUUACUGGGACCUGGUUUCAAAUUUGCAGUGCUUGCCUACGCUCAAUGGCAGAUAUCUCCAUUUCCAAAAGCCCUUUAGCUCUCUCUCUAAAAAUAGAUGAGGCCCAGCUUGGUGGCUCACGCCUGUAAUCCCAGCACUUUGGGAGGCUGAGGUGGGUGGAUCACCUGAGGUCAGGAGUUCGAGACCAGCCUGGCCAACAUGGUGAAACCCCAUCUCUACUAAAAAUACAAAAAUUAGCCGGGCAUGGUGGCACGUGCCUGUAAUCCCAGCUACUCGGGAAGCUGAGGCAGGAGAAUCCCUUAAACCCAGGAGGCAGAGGUUGCAGUGAGCCGAGAUCAUGCCAUUGCACUCCAGCCUAGGUGACAGAGCAGGACUCCAUCUCAAUAAAUAAAUAAAUAAAUAAAAAAGAAAGAAAGAUAGGAUUUUUUUCCUCAAAAAAAAAAAAAUGAAAAUCACGCUAUUUAUAGAUCAAACCAAGUACAUAGGUUAAAAAUGUGAGGAAAGGGAUGGAAGAGAAAUCGGAGUCAAUGUGGAUGCUACAGCUUCCAAGCCCAGGCAGUUGGGGAAAUUAAUGAGUGAAAGUGAGAGGACAGGUUUUAUCAUCUGCAAAGUGCUACAACAAUGUCCGUGAUUGUUAUAGGUCCAGGAACACAGAGAGGAAAAACUAGGAAAGGUGGAUGUGGUUAGCAACAAGAGCAAUGAGUUCAGCUGGGAACUUCCCAUCUUGAAGAGUGAGGUAUUUAGCAGAGAUGUACCAGACACAAUGAAAGAUUUCCACUUGGAAGUUGAGUAAGGUAGCUCACCUGGAGACAGAUUUAGGAGUCACCACAUAGGGGUGAUGUUUGAGUCUUUGAGCAAAUAAGGGAAUGUGGACAGGAAACAUCGCUGAUGAUGACAACCCCUUUGAGUUUCACAAUAUAAAUCUUUCCAUUGCCUUUUUCUCCAGUACAUAGUCAAUUGUUGAGGUCUUGUCUGUGUCUGCCUUUUCUCUGUCCUUUGUUUGUUUGUUCUAGCUUAUGCACUCCCAGAAGGUAAGAAUGUGUCUGUUUAACUCACUUUGAACAGUAGAGAACUCAGUAUCACUGGCACACAGGCUCUGCAAGUGCAGUUCUUACCCAACAUGAAUUGGUUUGGCCUAAGCUUGGAGAUGGAGGGUCUGGCUCCAUGACACAAAGCGUGGAGCCAAGGGUGAGUGCAGAGGUAGGGCUUCAAAGAAAACCCUGCUCAGGCCAGGCGCAGUGGCUCAUGCCUGUAAUCCCAACACUUUGGGUGGCUGAGGCAGGUGGAUCACGAGGUCAGGAGUUUUGUUUGUUUGUUUUUGAGACAGUCUCG
RNAcentral lists this long non-coding RNA (2489 nucleotides) under Homo sapiens (human). RNAcentral's name for it is "non-protein coding lnc-RBPMS-3:1". The record is from RNAcentral. Lineage: Eukaryota; Metazoa; Chordata; Mammalia; Primates; Hominidae.